GGAGCAGCCCGGGUGAACGCCGGCCAUCGCAGGACGGGGUGGCGGGAGGAAAGUCCGGGCACCGCAGGGCAGGGUGCUGGCUAACGGCCAGUCGGCGUGAGCCGCAGGAAAGUGCCACAGAGAACAGACCUCCUGUCCGCGAGGGCAGGGAAGGGUGAAACGGUGCGGUAAGAGCGCACCGCGCGGCUGGCGACAGUCGCGGCACGGCAAACCCCACCCGGUGCAAGAGCCAAUAGGGGAGCGUCUUCAGGCGACUGAAGACACGGGCGGCCCGUCCGAUGCUCCCGGGUUGCUCGCUGAGGAGGGCGUCGGCAACGGCGCCCCUGGAUGAAUGUUCGCCACCCGGGGAAACCCGGGAACAGAACCCGGCUUACAGGGCUGCUCCAGCG
This 389-nucleotide RNase P RNA is filed under the name Myxococcaceae bacterium. Its description in RNAcentral is "RNase P RNA component class A". It matches the Rfam family "Bacterial RNase P class A". From Rfam's summary of the family: Ribonuclease P (RNase P) is a ubiquitous endoribonuclease, found in archaea, bacteria and eukarya as well as chloroplasts and mitochondria. Its best characterised activity is the generation of mature 5'-ends of tRNAs by cleaving the 5'-leader elements of precursor-tRNAs. The record is from RNAcentral. Lineage: Bacteria; Pseudomonadati; Myxococcota; Myxococcia; Myxococcales; Myxococcaceae.